AACGAACGCUGGCGGCAGGCCUAACACAUGCAAGUCGAACGCUCUAGCAAUAGAGAGUGGCGCACGGGUGCGUAACGCGUGGGAAUAUGCCCUUGACUACGGAACAACGUCGGGAAACUGACGCUAAUACCGUAUAAUGUCUUCGGACCAAAGAUUUAUCGGUCAAGGAUUAGCCCGCGUCUGAUUAGCUAGUUGGUGAGGUAACGGCUCACCAAGGCGACGAUCAGUAGCUGGUCUGAGAGGAUGAUCAGCCACACUGGGACUGAGACACGGCCCAGACUCCUACGGGAGGCAGCAGUGAGGAAUAUUGGACAAUGGAGACAACUCUGAUCCAGCCAUGCCGCGUGAGUGACGAAGGCCUUCGGGUUGUAAAGCUCUUUCAGAUGCGAAGAUAAUGACGGUAACAUCAGAAGAAGCCCCGGCUAAAUUCGUGCCAGCCGCCGCGGUAA
This 449-nucleotide ribosomal RNA is filed under the name uncultured bacterium. RNAcentral's name for it is "partial 16S ribosomal RNA". It matches the Rfam family "Bacterial small subunit ribosomal RNA", at positions 29 to 523 of the family's 1533-position model. The record is from RNAcentral.